This 792-nucleotide ribosomal RNA is filed under the name uncultured bacterium. RNAcentral's name for it is "bacterial SSU rRNA". It matches the Rfam family "Bacterial small subunit ribosomal RNA", at positions 111 to 888 of the family's 1533-position model. The record is from RNAcentral.
UAACACGUGGGCAACCUGCCUGUAAGUUGGGGAUAACUCCGGGAAACCGGGGCUAAUACCGAAUGAUAAAGUGUGGCGCAUGCCACGCUUUUGAAAGAUGGUUUCGGCUAUCGCUUACAGAUGGGCCCGCGGUGCAUUAGCUAGUUGGUAGGGUAAUGGCCUAUCAAGGCAACGACGCAUAGCCGACCUGAGAGGGUGAUCGGCCACACUGGGACUGAGACACGGCCCAGACUCCUACGGGAGGCAGCAGUAGGGAAUCUUCCGCAAUGGACGAAAGUCUGACGGAGCAACGCCGCGUGUAUGAAGAAGGUUUUCGGAUCGUAAAGUACUGUUGUUAGAGAAGAACAAGGAUAAGAGUAACUGCUUGUCCCUUGACGGUAUCUAACCAGAAAGCCACGGCUAACUACGUGCCAGCAGCCGCGGUAAUACGUAGGUGGCAAGCGUUGUCCGGAUUUAUUGGGCGUAAAGCGCGCGCAGGCGGUCUUUUAAGUCUGAUGUGAAAGCCCCCGGCUUGACCGGGGAGGGUCAUUGGAAACUGGAAGACUGGAGUGCAGAAGAGGAGAGUGGAAUUCCACGUGUAGCGGUGAAAUGCGUAGAUAUGUGGAGGAACACCAGUGGCGAAGGCGACUCUCUGGUCUGUAACUGACGCUGAGGCGCGAAAGCGUGGGGAGCAAACAGGANUAGAUACCCUGGUAGUCCACGCCGUAAACGAUGAGUGCUAAGUGUUAGGGGGUUUCCGCCCCUUAGUGCUGCAGCUAACGCAUUAAGCACUCCGCCUGGGGAGUACGACCG